RNAcentral lists this ribosomal RNA (1318 nucleotides) under metagenome. RNAcentral's name for it is "bacterial LSU rRNA". It matches the Rfam family "Bacterial large subunit ribosomal RNA", at positions 1561 to 2925 of the family's 2925-position model. The record is from RNAcentral.
AGUGGAUGGGGAGCAACCUAGUUGUGCGUGUGUAAAGGUAGUGCCAAGAAAAGCGGUGAUCAUGAUGAAAAUCAAUUCCCGGUACCCGAAACCGACACAGGUGGGCAAGUAGAGAAUACUAAGGGGCGCGAGGUAACUCUCUCCAAGGAACUCGGCAAAAUGACCCCGUAACUUAGGGAGAAGGGGUGCCACCGAGAGGUGGUCGCAGUGAAGAGGCCCAGGCGACUGUUUAGCAAAAACAUAGGUCUCUGCAAACUCGAAAGAGGAGGUAUAGGGGCUGACGCCUGCCCAGUGCCGGAAGGUUAAAGAAGUUGGUCAGUCUUAGGAUAAAGCUAGCGACUGAAGCCCCGGUGAACGGCGGCCGUAACUAUAACGGUCCUAAGGUAGCGAAAUUCCUUGUCGGGUAAGUUCCGACCCGCACGAAAGGCGUAACGAUCUGGGCGCUGUCUCGGAGAGAGGCUCGGCGAAAUAGGAUUGUCUGUGAAGAUACGGACUACCUGCAUUUGGACAGAAAGACCCUAUGAAGCUUUACUAUAGCUUGGAAUUGUGUUCGGGCUUCCUGUGCGCAGGAUAGGUGGGAGGCGAAGAAGGUAUUCUUGUGGGGAUACUGGAGCCAACUGUGAUACCACUCUCAGGAGGCUAGAAUUCUAACUUAAUUAAGGACAGUUUCAGGUGGGUAGUUUGACUGGGGCGGUCGCCUCCAAAAAGGUAACGGAGGCGUACAAAGGUUCCCUCAGACUGGUUGGAAAUCAGUCGCAGAGUGCAAAGGCAGAAGGGAGCUUGACUGCGAGAAGUACAGUUCGAGCAGGGUGGAAACACGGUCUUAGUGAUCCGACGGUGCUGUGUGGAAGGGCCGUCGCUCAACGGAUAAAAGUUACUCUAAGGAUAACAGGCUGAUCUCCCCCAAGAGUUCACAUCGACGGGGAGGUUUGGCACCUCGAUGUCGGCUCAUCGCAACCUGGGGCGGAAGUACGUCCCAAGGGUUGGGCUGUUCGCCCAUUAAAGCGGUACGUGAGCUGGGUUCAGAACGUCGUGAGACAGUUCGGUCCAUAUCCGAUGUAGGCGUGAGAAUAUUGAGAGGAGCCUUCCUUAGUACGAGAGGACCGGGAAGGACGCACCGCUGGUGUACCUGUUAUGAUGCCAAUUGUAAACGCAGGGUAGCCAAGUGCGGAGAGGAUAACCGCUGAAAGCAUCUAAGUGGGAAGCCCACCUCAAGAUGAGUAUUCUGGUGUAAGGUCACGGGAAGACGACCCGUAAAUAGGCACGAGGUGGAAGUGCAGAGAUGUAUGAAGCCGAAGUGUACUAAUAGACCGUCGGC